This 696-nucleotide ribosomal RNA is filed under the name uncultured bacterium. Its description in RNAcentral is "bacterial SSU rRNA". It matches the Rfam family "Bacterial small subunit ribosomal RNA", at positions 139 to 851 of the family's 1533-position model. The record is from RNAcentral.
GGGGAUAACGUUUGGAAACGAACGCUAAUACCGCAUGAUAUUAUUGAGCUGCAUGGCUUGAUAAUCAAAGGAGCAAUCCGCUGAAAGAUGGGCUCGCGUCCGAUUAGGUAGUUGGCGGGGCAACGGCCCACCAAGCCGACGAUCGGUAGCCGGACUGAGAGGUUGAACGGCCACAUUGGGACUGAGACACGGCCCAGACUCCUACGGGAGGCAGCAGUGAGGGAUAUUGGUCAAUGGGGGAAACCCUGAACCAGCAACGCCGCGUGAGGGAAGACGGUUUUCGGAUUGUAAACCUCUGUCCUCUGUGAAGAUGAUGACGGUAGCAGAGGAGGAAGCUCCGGCUAACUACGUGCCAGCAGCCGCGGUAAUACGUAGGGAGCAAGCGUUGUCCGGAUUUACUGGGUGUAAAGGGUGCGUAGGCGGCUUUGCAAGUCAGAAGUGAAAUCCAUGGGCUUAACCCAUGAACUGCUUUUGAAACUGCAGAGCUUGAGUGGAGUAGAGGUAGGCGGAAUUCCCGGUGUAGCGGUGAAAUGCGUAGAGAUCGGGAGGAACACCAGUGGCGAAGGCGGCCUGCUGGGCUCUAACUGACGCUGAGGCACGAAAGCGUGGGUAGCAAACAGGAUUAGAUACCCUGGUAGUCCACGCUGUAAACGAUGAUUACUAGGUGUGGGUGGACUGACCCCAUCCGUGCCGGAG